RNAcentral lists this long non-coding RNA (268 nucleotides) under Glycine max (soybean). RNAcentral's name for it is "long non-coding RNA (GMAX_LNC002323)". Lineage: Eukaryota; Viridiplantae; Streptophyta; Magnoliopsida; Fabales; Fabaceae. The record is from RNAcentral.
GAAUUUGCAAUCCAGUUCCUUUAUAUAUAUAUAUGCAAAAUUUGAUUGAAACAAAUUUGGCUAAAUGAAACCCUGACAAAGAGAUGCGCCACAAGGUAGACGGCAAAGACCAACUCCUCUCUUUUACAUCUCAAUAAUAAUCAACGAAAAGCGAAAGAAAGACAAAACGUUUGCAUAUAUGGAUUCAGAAAGUAGUAGAAAGGAGGAAAAGGCAUAGACUUGGAUGAUCAUUGAGCUUUGAGGACUAUUUUACAAUUUUAAAAUUUUC